GCCUACGGGGCGCAGCAGUGAGGAAUAUUGGUCAAUGGGCGGGAGCCUGAACCAGCCAAGUCGCGUGAGGGAAGACGGUCCUAUGGAUUGUAAACCUCUUUAGGCGGGGAGCAAUGCCGGGCACGCGUGCCCGGAGGGAGAGUACCCGCAGAAUAAGCAUCGGCUAACUCCGUGCCAGCAGCCGCGGUAAUACGGAGGAUGCGAGCGUUAUCCGGAUUUACUGGGUUUAAAGGGUGUGUAGGUGGUUAAUUAAGUCAGCGGUGAAAGUUUGUGGCUCAACCAUAAAAUUGCCGUUGAAACUGGUU
This 305-nucleotide ribosomal RNA is filed under the name uncultured bacterium. RNAcentral's name for it is "bacterial SSU rRNA". It matches the Rfam family "Bacterial small subunit ribosomal RNA", at positions 337 to 638 of the family's 1533-position model. The record is from RNAcentral.